GAUGAACGCUAGCGGCAGGCCUAAUACAUGCAAGCUGAACGGCAAGAUUUGUAGCAAUACGAGUCCUAGAGUAGCGUAAGGGUGCGUAACACGUAUGCAAUCUGCCCGCAACAGGAGGAUAGCUUAGCGAAAGUUGAGAUAAGACUCCAUAAGAUCACGAGAGGGCAUCUGAUUGUGAUUAAACUACAAGGGGUUGCGGAUGAGCAUGCGUCUGAUUAGUUAGUUGGCGGGU
Molecule: ribosomal RNA, 232 nt
Filed under: uncultured bacterium
Lineage: Bacteria
Description: partial 16S ribosomal RNA
Rfam family: Bacterial small subunit ribosomal RNA
Source: RNAcentral